ACAUUUUCAAAGUUUUAAACAUAUAAAUCUGAACCGAACCGAAUUUGUUAUUUUGAGUCGAUUCAGAUAUUUUAGAUCCAGUAUACUCAAGACUAAAAUAUACCGUUGAAGUAUAAAAUAUACCGUUUUGACAAUUAUCAAUCUUAAAAGUAAUAUCAAAAGUGUCACUUAAAACAUUACUUUUAGUAUUUGUAU
Molecule: small RNA, 195 nt
Filed under: Arabidopsis thaliana (thale cress)
Lineage: Eukaryota; Viridiplantae; Streptophyta; Magnoliopsida; Brassicales; Brassicaceae
Description: ATSL213150
Source: RNAcentral